This 177-nucleotide ribosomal RNA is filed under the name Micrococcus sp. dulse 7. RNAcentral's name for it is "partial 16S ribosomal RNA". It matches the Rfam family "Bacterial small subunit ribosomal RNA", at positions 1200 to 1375 of the family's 1533-position model. The record is from RNAcentral. Lineage: Bacteria; Bacillati; Actinomycetota; Actinomycetes; Micrococcales; Micrococcaceae.
CCUUAUGUCUUGGGCUUCACGCAUGCUACAAUGGCCGGUACAAUGGGUUGCGAUACUGUGAGGUGGAGCUAAUCCCAAAAAGCCGGUCUCAGUUCGGAUUGGGGUCUGCAACUCGACCCCAUGAAGUUGGAGUCGCUAGUAAUCGCAGAUCAGCAACGCUGCGGUGAAUACGUUCCC